AUGUUACAUGGUGAAACCUUCAAUUUCUUAAGCCAUAAGAAAAGUAGGUCAAAUAGUGAGGCUCCAGACCACCCAGCUAUUCUGAACUGGAUGCCAUUUGCAAGAACAACUAACAAUGGGCAUUCUGUGUUUACACUCUGCCUUGACUUCAGUCGUCAAGGUCCAGAACAAAUGCCCCCAAGUCUGUCUCUUAAGGUAAAUUAAUCACUCUCAACUCUGUGAUCCCAAACCACAUUAUUGAAAUCACUGGUAUAAGACAACUUGUAUUGUUUUGAAGAUAAUUUUGUAUCUGUUAGUACUAUUAGUCUGUUAGCUCCUAGAGGACUUUCCCAGACACAGUAGAAAUUCUGUAAAUUCUUUUCUGAAUGAAGGCUGACCUCACAAGCUAUUUCUUUAUCAUUCUCUAUCCUAAGAGACCAGUCAGUUACAUGUGUGCCUCUGUGUGUAUGUUCCUUUGUAACAAUGUGCUUAGUAUUUUCUUCAGACAUCAGUUUGGACAUUAAUAAAAAUCUGGUAGUGUGUAGCAUUAAAAGCAAAAUAAAGGUUGCAUAUCCAGCUUAGUUUUCUUUUAAAGGGAUAACUCUAAAAGUUUGUAAUUUAAGAUUAAGAUAUGCAGGUUCAGUCCCCAGUCUGCCACAGUGGGUUAAAAAGAUCCA
This 656-nucleotide long non-coding RNA is filed under the name Sus scrofa (pig). Its description in RNAcentral is "lncRNA (ENSSSCG00005029480.1)". Lineage: Eukaryota; Metazoa; Chordata; Mammalia; Artiodactyla; Suidae. The record is from RNAcentral.